UCAAAACGACUCUCGGCAACGGAUAUCUCGGCUCUCGCAUCGAUGAAGAACGUAGCGAAAUGCGAUACUUGGUGUGAAUUGCAGAAUCCCGUGAACCAUCGAGUCUUUGAACGCAAGUUGCGCCCGAAGCCAUCAGGCCGAGGGCACGCCUGCCUGGGCGU
RNAcentral lists this ribosomal RNA (161 nucleotides) under Callicarpa maingayi. Its description in RNAcentral is "5.8S ribosomal RNA". It matches the Rfam family "5.8S ribosomal RNA". From Rfam's summary of the family: 5.8S ribosomal RNA (5.8S rRNA) is a component of the large subunit of the eukaryotic ribosome. Lineage: Eukaryota; Viridiplantae; Streptophyta; Magnoliopsida; Lamiales; Lamiaceae. The record is from RNAcentral.